Molecule: long non-coding RNA, 1611 nt
Organism: Salvator merianae (Argentine black and white tegu)
Lineage: Eukaryota; Metazoa; Chordata; Lepidosauria; Squamata; Teiidae
Source: Ensembl
GGGAAAAAGCAAGGCCGCUUGAACAUCCGCUGUGGAUAUUGCACACUUUUCCCAUGGAGGAGGAAGCAGCGGCGGCGGAGCGCGUGGAAGAGGAAGGCGGCCGAGCCCGCAGAGCCGCCAAGCCCCUCGCUCUCCGCUGUCGUCAUUGCUCAGGCAGCCGGACCUGGCCGGGGCAGCACCUGUCCCUCCGCCCGCCCACCGGCCGGGCAGCCCCCUGCGCUGCGGGCCUCGGGGGGCUUCUGGAGGAACCCGGCCGGGCGAGUCCCGUCUUCUCUGCCUCCCAGGACGGAGAGGCCGCAGGCGGAGCAGGAAGGGAACCGGGAGCCUGCUUCGUCCUCGGCGAUCAAGAAGACUUCCAGGCCUCGCGGGCCGCUGGCUGGGCUCCGACCACCGCAGAGGAGGAGGAAGACGAAUUCCCACCUGCAGCCCCCGCUCUCUCUAUUUCGUGUAAGGCCUGCGCCACAGAAGCCCUGCUCAGCCUUGUUUCAAGAAGGGGAGUGCCAGCCUUUAGCAUCUCUUGGCAUCUGAAGAGCGUGGAAGGUACGCGCCCUCCCCUUUGGAGGCAGGGAGGUGAAGGUGAGCCGCACAGCCUCACGGGAUUGCCUUGCUGAUUUUUAUUUUCGCUAAAUGUGACUCUCCAUAGAAACUAAUGCUGAGUUGCUCCGGAAUGGUUAAUGAACCUCUNCUCUUUUAAGAGCAGCCUGUGCAGGUGUUUCCUCACCACGGGGCAGGAGCUGUUUCAGCCACAGGCGGCCCUCUUUUACCCCGCAGCAAAGGCUUUCGGGUCUUGCGCCGGGAUUUCUGUUUUAGCAGGCAGAGUCUUUCCUUGAUCCAGGCGGAACGCAGUUUGUGCGUCGACCUUCCCCAUUAGCUCACACGGGACACAGUUGCCACCGCCGCUCGAAUCUCGCUCAAAGCAACUUGCCUCCCGGCUCCACCUGGGGAACCGCCUCCCAUUUCCCCUGCGAGGGGCUGCGUGCCUGGACGGUCGAGCGUCACUCGCCUACAGGAGCCGUCGGGUAGGUGAGGCUGCGAAGAUCGCCUCAUCCAGGUGAGCCUAAGAUGCCGCGGCGACUCGGGAUCGCCAGCAGGGACAGGAAAAGGCGCUCCAUCUCCUUUGAGCCCCCCGCAGCCUUCUCGCUCCUCCGCUCCGGCUCUCUGCACAGGAGACCGCCGCGCCCCUUCUGCCCUCCCCGUCUCCCUCGCCCCUCUCCCGCCUGGCGGCCGCUGACGUCACCUCUCGCCUCCCGCUUGCUCAACUCAUGCGCCCACCGCGGCGAUUUCCGUCGGGGCAGCAGCGCAUCGCCUUUACUGCCCACCAGUUCUUUUCGUCCCCUGGCACCGUCCCUGGGCGCGACUCUAAAGUGGCCGCGACGUGUUGCGCCUCGCCAAGAACACAUCGAAAGCAAAGCUGCCGUAACAGAGCCGGCGGAAGUGAGAAGGAAGCAAGGAGAGGGCUGGGAAUCCGCCGUGCAGCGCCCUUUUUCGUCUCCGAUACCGCCUCCACCCAAGCGACGGGUUUCUUUUUCCCCCCAGCGCCGCCCUGCUCCCGGCUAGCAGCCUGAUGUCUGAUGCAGAGACAUCAGUAUCCAGGACCCCGCCGCCGGGUAC